GAUCAUGGCUCAGGAUGAACGCUGGCGGCGUGCUUAACACAUGCAAGUCGAGCGAAGCACUUAAGAAUGAUUCUUCGGAUGAGCUCUUUUGUGACUGAGCGGCGGACGGGUGAGUAACGCGUGGGCAACCUGCCUCAUACAGGGGGAUAACAGUUAGAAAUGACUGCUAAUACCGCAUAAGCGCACAGUGCUGCAUGGCACCGUGUGAAAAACUCCGGUGG
Molecule: ribosomal RNA, 221 nt
Filed under: uncultured bacterium
Lineage: Bacteria
Description: partial 16S ribosomal RNA
Rfam family: Bacterial small subunit ribosomal RNA
Source: RNAcentral